RNAcentral lists this ribosomal RNA (787 nucleotides) under Ingliseria cirrohamata. RNAcentral describes it as "SSU rRNA". It matches the Rfam family "Eukaryotic small subunit ribosomal RNA", at positions 210 to 1002 of the family's 1831-position model. Lineage: Eukaryota; Metazoa; Nematoda; Chromadorea; Rhabditida; Acuariidae. The record is from RNAcentral.
UUAGAUUAAAACCAAUCGGGCCUAGCCCGUCAAUUGGUGACUCUGAAUAGCUAUGGCUGAUCGCAUGGUCUCGUACCGGCGACGUGUCUAUCAAGUGUCUGCCUUAUCAACUUUCGAUGGUAGUUUAUGUGCCUACCAUGGUUGUAACGGGUAACGGAGAAUAAGGGUUCGACUCCGGAGAGGGAGCCUGAGAAACGGCUACCACAUCCAAGGAAGGCAGCAGGCGCGCAAAUUACCCACUCUCGGCAUGAGGAGGUAGUGACGAAAAAUAACGAGACCGUUCUCUUCGAGGCCGGUUAUCGGAAUGGGUACAAUUUAAACCAGUUAACGAGGAUCUAUGAGAGGGCAAGUCUGGUGCCAGCAGCCGCGGUAAUUCCAGCUCUCAAAGUGUAUAUCGUCAUUGCUGCGGUUAAAAAGCUCGUAGUUGGAUCUGCGCCUCAGGACCCGGUCCGUCCUUUGGACGAGAACUGGGAUCCUAGGCUAGUACUGUCGGUUUUCCCUGCGUUACCUUGAUUGGUCGCGCAGGGUGGCCGGCGAGUUUACCUUGAAAAAAUUAGAGUGCUCAACGCGGGCUGACGCCUGAAUACUCGUGCAUGGAAUAAUGAAAUAGGAUCUCGGUUCUAUUUUGUUGGUUUUCUGAUCUGAGAUAAUGGUUAAGAGGGACGGACGGGGGCAUUCGUAUCGCUGCGUGAGAGGUGAAAUUCUUGGACCGUAGCGAGACGCCCGACUGCGAAAGCAUUUGCCAAGAAUGUCUUCAUUAAUCAAGAACGAAAGUCAGAGGUUCGAA